This 432-nucleotide unclassified non-coding RNA is filed under the name Cryptococcus sp. M20. RNAcentral's name for it is "sequence contains ITS1, 5.8S rRNA gene, ITS2". The stretch from base 135 to 288 matches the Rfam family "5.8S ribosomal RNA". Lineage: Eukaryota; Fungi; Basidiomycota; Tremellomycetes; Tremellales; Cryptococcaceae. The record is from RNAcentral.
AUAGUGCCCUCUGAUGCAAAUCAUUGGGUUAGAUCUGCUCUCUUCGCAAGAAGAGGGUUUCCAUACACACCGUGAACUGUGGCUUCGGCCAUCACAAACUGUUAGUAAUGAAUGUAAUAUCAUAACAAAAACAAAACUUUUAACAACGGAUCUCUUGGCUCUCGCAUCGAUGAAGAACGCAGCGAAAUGCGAUAAGUAAUGUGAAUUGCAGAAUUCAGUGAAUCAUCGAAUCUUUGAACGCACCUUGCGCCCUUUGGUAUUCCGAAGGGCAUGCCUGUUUGAGUGUCAUGAAACCUCACCCCACUUAGGUUUUUGCCUAAGCGGUGGUGUAUUGGGUGUUGCCUUGCUAAAGGCUCGCCUUAAAGACAUAAGCACCUUGGAUGUAAUACGUUUCAUCCUUCUGGGUGGCUGAUAACCCCACAUAUUCAUGAU